GGCGCGCCUAACACAUGCAAGUCGAACGAGAAAGUCCGCAAGGAUGAGUAAAGUGGCGUACGGGUGAGUAACACGUGGAUCAUCUACCUUUUAGUGGGGAAUACCGUUGGGAAACCGACGACAAUACCGCAUAAUCCCGAGAGGGGAAAGCAGCAAUGCGCUGAAAGAGGAGUCCGCGGCUGAUUAGCUAGUUGGUAGGGUAAUGGCCUACCAAGGCAUCGAUCAGUAGCCGGCCUGAGAGGGCACACGGCCACACUGGCACUGAAACACGGGCCAGACUCCUACGGGAGGCAGCAGUGGGGAAUCUUGCACAAUGGGGGCAACCCUGAUGCAGCGACGCCGCGUGAGCGAUGAAGCCCUUCGGGGUGUAAAGCUCUUUCGGCAGGGAAGAUUAUGACGGUACCUGCAGAAGCAGCUGCGGCUAACUACAUGCCAGCAGCCGCGGUAAUACGUAGGCAGCAAGCGUUGUUCGGAGUUUACUGGGCGUAAAGGGUGUGUAGGCCGGUUCCCUAAGUUUUGGUGUGAAAUCUCCCGGCUUUAACCGGGAGGGUGCGCCGAAAACUGGGGAGCUAGAGUAUGGGAGAGGAAAGUGGAAUUCCUGGUUGUAC
RNAcentral lists this ribosomal RNA (608 nucleotides) under uncultured bacterium. RNAcentral's name for it is "bacterial SSU rRNA". It matches the Rfam family "Bacterial small subunit ribosomal RNA", at positions 41 to 679 of the family's 1533-position model. The record is from RNAcentral.